Molecule: ribosomal RNA, 500 nt
Filed under: uncultured Actinomycetes bacterium
Lineage: Bacteria; Bacillati; Actinomycetota; Actinomycetes
Description: bacterial SSU rRNA
Rfam family: Bacterial small subunit ribosomal RNA
Source: RNAcentral
UCCUACCGGUGGCAACACCGGGAAAGACCUAGCGGCGAACGGGUGAGUAACACGUGAGGAACCUGUCCCGAAGACCGGGAUAACCCUCCGAAAGGGGGGCUAAUACCGGAUACCCUCUUCCGGUCGCAUGGCUGGAUGAGGAAAGGGCUUUACCGCUUCGGGAGGGCCUCGCGGCCUAUCAGCUUGUUGGUGAGGUAACGGCUCACCAAGGCGACGACGGGUAGCUGGUCUGAGAGGACGAUCAGCCACACUGGGACUGAGACACGGCCCAGACUCCUACGGGAGGCAGCAGUGGGGAAUCUUGCGCAAUGGGCGAAAGCCUGACGCAGCAACGCCGCGUGCGGGAUGAAGGCCUUCGGGUCGUAAACCGCUUUCAGUGGGGACGAAUCCAGACGGUACCCACAGAAGAAGCCCCGGCCAACUACGUGCCAGCAGCCGCGGUAACACGUAGGGGGCGAGCGUUGUCCGGAUUCAUUGGGCGUAAAGAGCUCGUAGGCGGC